UGGAGAAUUCUGGAUUGAUGCGAGCCUAAAAUUGAAGAUGACGAAGAGUUCCAGAGCUGACUAAGCCUUGCCAGAGUGCAGAGCUGCCAGAGGCAGCUCUGCCGACUCUGCCCGACUCAGCUCUGCCCCGACUCUACGACUCAGCUCUGCCGACUCUGCUCUGCUCUGCCGACCCCCCACUACGUGCCACAUCAGCUCGGUAUUACCACGUAGGCGACAGGUCAGCUUGGUAUUACCACGUAAGCGACACGUCAGCUCGGAGCUUCACCGGAGCAAAAAAGCAUGGAAAAAUUGUUC
Molecule: long non-coding RNA, 297 nt
Filed under: Salvia miltiorrhiza (redroot sage)
Lineage: Eukaryota; Viridiplantae; Streptophyta; Magnoliopsida; Lamiales; Lamiaceae
Description: long non-coding RNA (SMIL_LNC001666)
Source: RNAcentral